RNAcentral lists this ribosomal RNA (747 nucleotides) under Winthemia sinuata. RNAcentral describes it as "SSU rRNA". It matches the Rfam family "Eukaryotic small subunit ribosomal RNA", at positions 501 to 1180 of the family's 1831-position model. Lineage: Eukaryota; Metazoa; Arthropoda; Insecta; Diptera; Tachinidae. The record is from RNAcentral.
CCCUGUAAUUGGAAUGAGUACACUUUAAAUCCUUUAACAAGGACCUAUUGGAGGGCAAGUCUGGUGCCAGCAGCCGCGGUAACUCCAGCUCCAAUAGCGUAUAUUAAAGUUGUUGCGGUUAAAACGUUCGUAGUUGAACUUGUGCUUCAUACGGGUAGUACAGCUAUAAUUGUAGUUUGUACUGUACCUUAUGUAUGCAAGCGUAUUACCGGUGGAGUUCUUACAUGUGUCUUAUACUUGUAUUUUUCACAUGUUCCUCCUAUUUAAACCUGCUUCAGUGCUCUUCAUCGAGUGUUGUUGUGGGCCGGUACAAUUACUUUGAACAAAUUAGAGUGCUUAAAGCAGGCUCCAAAUGCCUGAAUAUUUUGUGCAUGGAAUAAUGAAAUAAGACCUCUGUUCUACUUUCAUUGGUUUUUAGAUCAAGAGGUAAUGAUUAAUAGAAGCAGUUUGGGGGCAUUAGUAUUACGACGCGAGAGGUGAAAUUCUUGGACCGUCGUAAGACUAACUUAAGCGAAAGCAUUUGCCAAAGAUGUUUUCAUUAAUCAAGAACGAAAGUUAGAGGUUCGAAGGCGAUCAGAUACCGCCCUAGUUCUAACCAUAAACGAUGCCAGCUAGCAAUUGGGUGUAGCUACUAUCAUGGCUCUCUCAGUCGCUUCCCGGGAAACCAAAGCUUUUGGGCUCCGGGGGAAGUAUGGUUGCAAAGCUGAAACUUAAAGGAAUUGACGGAAGGGCACCACCAGGAGUGGA